This 853-nucleotide ribosomal RNA is filed under the name uncultured Bacteroidota bacterium. Its description in RNAcentral is "bacterial SSU rRNA". It matches the Rfam family "Bacterial small subunit ribosomal RNA", at positions 46 to 896 of the family's 1533-position model. The record is from RNAcentral. Lineage: Bacteria; Pseudomonadati; Bacteroidota.
GCUUACGCAUGCAAGUCGAGGGGUAACGGGGAUUGCUUGCAAUUCGCUGACGACCGGCGCACGGGUGCGUAACGCGUAUGCAACUUGCCUCAAACUGGAAGAUAGCCCGGGGAAACUCGGAUUAAUAUUCCAUAGUAUCCAUUCUUCGCAUGUUGAAUGGAUUAAAGCUUCGGCGGUUUGAGAUGGGCAUGCGUGACAUUAGCUUGUUGGUGAGGUAACGGCUCACCAAGGCUUCGAUGUCUAGGGGGCCUGAGAGGGUGAACCCCCACACUGGUACUGAGACACGGACCAGACUCCUACGGGAGGCAGCAGUGAGGAAUAUUGCGCAAUGGAGGAAACUCUGACGCAGCCAUGCCGCGUGCAGGAAGACGGCCCUACGGGUUGUAAACUGCUUUUAUUUGAGAAGAAACCCUGGUACGUGUACCAGGCUGACGGUAUCAAAUGAAUAAGCACCGGCUAACUCCGUGCCAGCAGCCGCGGUAAUACGGAGGGUGCAAGCGUUAUCCGGAUUUAUUGGGUUUAAAGGGUGCGUAGGCGGGACAUUAAGUCAGUGGUGAAAGCCUGUAGCUCAACUACAGAACUGCCAUUGAUACUGAUGUUCUUGAAUUUGGUUGAGGUAGGCGGAAUACGUCAUGUAGCGGUGAAAUGCAUAGAUAUGACGUGGAACACCGAUCGCGAAGGCAGCUUACCAAACCAACAUUGACGCUAAUGCACGAAAGCGUGGGUAGCGAACAGGAUUAGAUACCCUGGUAGUCCACGCCGUAAACGAUGAUCACUCGCUGUUGGCGAUAUACUGUCAGUGGCUAAGCGAAAGCGUUAAGUGAUCCACCUGGGGAGUACGCUCGCAAGAGUG